GUUGCCCAUUGAGGCGUUCCUAAAGCUACUGUUCCUGUGUAGUCUUGGGGCUGUAAUGGGCAUAGAGAGAAUGGUGUCUGUCUGCAUGCUUCUACUUUAUGUCCUGGGGUCCUCAGGAGUUUCGUGUAGUAGUAGCGCGUGAUACGUUCACCUACAUA
RNAcentral lists this small nucleolar RNA (158 nucleotides) under Lytechinus variegatus (green sea urchin). Its description in RNAcentral is "small nucleolar RNA SNORA17". The record is from RNAcentral. Lineage: Eukaryota; Metazoa; Echinodermata; Echinoidea; Temnopleuroida; Toxopneustidae.